RNAcentral lists this transfer RNA (70 nucleotides) under Petasospora fabianii. RNAcentral's name for it is "Cyberlindnera fabianii tRNA". It matches the Rfam family "tRNA". Rfam says of the family: Transfer RNA (tRNA) molecules are approximately 80 nucleotides in length. The record is from Rfam by way of RNAcentral. Lineage: Eukaryota; Fungi; Ascomycota; Saccharomycetes; Phaffomycetales; Wickerhamomycetaceae.
GCGCGAGUGGUUUAGCGGUAAAAUUCAAAGUUGCCAUCUUUGAGCCCCCGGUUCGACUCCGGCUCGCGCA